GCAGGGCAGCUGCCGGCUGUCUCGUUUCCCUCACUUGGGCUCUGGCCGCACAGCCUGGAUGCAGGAGGAAUGCCCUGGGGGCCCCCAGGCCAUGCCGCAGGGUCUCCAGACAGCAGGGGGCCACCAUCAAGGAGCAAGGUGUUCCAGGCACUCAGGAAGCCUGCCGGACACAGGUGGGGCAGUACAUUGGCUACCAUACCACAGCAGUGACCCCUCCUGUCCCAGGAGGCCCUGCAGAGCUCCCUGGAAACCCCACCGAGCUGAGGAGCAGAGCAAGAGUCCCCAGGAGCUCACGGGAUGAACCCAAGGCCUGGGGCUGGCAGAUGGAGCUGCACCCCCAGCCCCAGAUUCUUCCUCCACGAAGGACACUCGGAAGCUCUGAAAAUGUUUCCAAAGACAACAGUUCCAGAAAGCUGUUCCCAAGGACACUCAAGCCGGGCAGCCUGUGAUGUACAUGCCCAGCUCGGGCAAGGCUGGGAAAGGAGAAAACACUGGAGCCACUGCCCAACAAGGACCUGGAGGACCUGGAGAACCUGGAACCCUGUGUGGCACAGCAGCCCCUCACACAGAGCAGAUUGACAUGCAGCUGGAGCCCCGAGGUGGGUGUGCACCCUGGACUGGGGGGCGGGUGAGGUGCUGUACACAGCUGCCCACAGCAGGGACAUCGAGUGCUUAGUGGGGUCUGGGCACUGCUCAGGGAGACCAGCCGGACAUGGGACAGUGGCUGUGGAUGCCGCCUACGCAAGCCCCAGAGGGUUUCCAGGGCCAGAGUGUCCGUCAGAAGGGGCACACACUCAGGCCAGGCUGGGUACUGCUACGCUGUGGGCAGUGGCUCUGUGCCACAGGACUAUGUGCCUGGAGGUGGCCGCGCUGGUGCCAGGUAUGUAAUGUUUCACUGCCAUGCGGGCCCCUGCAGCCUGGAUAGAGACACAGGCACCAGCUGGGGCCCCUGGGAGGACAGCAAGCUGUGGGUCCCUGUGUAUCUUUCUGGGGUCCACAGGGGUGGGGACAGCUGAGAGGGGACCUGGAGUGGGGCUGGCAGGCAGGGCUGGGGGACAUUGGUGCUCUGGGUGGCAGCUGGCCAGGGGCUGGCCCUCAGAGAGGAAGGAAGAGCAGAAUACUGCUGCCCAAGUCUCAAGUGUCCAGGGCCCAGCUGACAGGAUGGGUGCCCAUGACAGGGGCAGUCUUGAUGCUGAGGUUCUGGGGGACUAGCAUCACCUCGGUCACCACUGCCCCAGAUCCAGCUCCCAAAGGCCCUCGGCUGGUCUGAACCUCUUGGUGCCUGGCCAAGCUACUGACCGCUUCCUUCUGGGCAAUUUCCAUGCCCACAACGUGCCGGUCCCACAUGGAUGUCCCUGCCUCAGUGGCCGGUACUCUCCCUCCCCUGUACCCUCCCUCCCUCUCCUGUACCCCCUGCACCCCGUGAACAGAGCUCUGGAAACCCCAGCCUCACAGGCCUGUGCUGACCAUGGCACACAGCAGCACGCUGGAGUCUGGGAGGUGCCCUGGGCACUGUAGGCUCCCUGCUGGAUAUCAGCUGUGGCACUGGGCCAAGGGGCACAGGGAGGCUGCUGAAGGCCCUGCAGACCUGGCCCCAAGGAGUGCAGCCAUGGGCAGGAGUUGGGCCCUGUGCUGCUCUUCUUGCUGUCACCAGCACAGGACCCAGGUCCCUGUGCACCCGUGGGUCCUGUCAGGCCCUGGUCCCGGGAGGAAGCAAGGCUAUGGUUCUUGAGGGUAUGGUGGGGCUAAAAAACUUCCCCAGGGCAUGGCAGGAUGGACAAGGGACAGUAGCCAACAGGGUGACCAGAGGCACCAGGAGAACAACACAGAGACCAGAGAUAAGAGGGACAGGCCGACCUGACCUCGGAGUGCCCCUGACCCACCCCGCCCCGCCCUGCUGUGGAGGUGGUGGCACCUGCCAGGGCUCAGGAGCAGAUAGCCCAGGACUGUGAGCAGGAAGACUCACCCAGGGAAAGGGGCCUGGUGUGGAGCCCGGAGCACAUCUCAGGGUGCCCUGGGGCUGAGGGGUCACAGGGCUGGGGACAUCACUAGGGACACAGACACCACGUCCAGGAUAGUGGUGUGGGCCGGGCAGUCACCAGCACCACCUGCCUGGACUCUGGGCCAGGGCCACUGUGCUGCCAUGGGAACAGAGCCCCGAGGGGAGGAACAGCUGUGUCUACCGCUCUAGGACUCCAUCCUACCUGGCGCUCAAGGUGACAUGUGGAAGGAACCAGCUCUCCCGCUCACCCUGCAAGCCAGGGCUCCUAUGGGGUACAUGAGCAGGUGCACCCCAACACAGCCCCAGAGAGGCUGGGAGGUCUUUGGAUGCUUUUAUACACAGCUGAAGGACAGAUGGGCAUCGGGGGACACUGCCGACCCUGUAAACUGCUGCACUUCCCGCCCUGGGCAGAAAUGCUCCUUUUUAUUGUUGAUUCACUGCACAAGGACCAGGGCGGGCUGUCCACCUGGUCAGCUCCUGCCCAUCUGUUCAAGCAUAGGUGCCUGGUACUAGUACUGCCCAGCUGUCAAGGGGGCCCUGGGGCUCAGGGGCUAGGGGCCCGGGGGCACAGGCAUGGAGCGAGGGUCCCUCACCACCCACUCUGGCUCAUAGAUCCCCCUAGGCAGCUAGGUCCCCCUGGCCCUCUCCUCCUGCCUCAGCUGUAACCAAAGGGUAGAGUCUGAGGUCAGCACUGGGAGCCCUGCUGCCAUGGUGGUCCUUGUUCCACCCUCCGCCCCCAGGCGAGAGCUGGGUGUACACUGCCACAGGCUCAGCCAGAGCCCAGGUCUGCCAUGAACAGAAGGCCACAGAGCCUGGUUCAGAGGGAGGUGGCAGCGCACACGUGAGCUGCAGCCAUUGGUGGGUGCCUCACCAGGCAAGCCUGGGCCCCUUUCGCAGAAGAAACUGGGUGAGUAUUUUGGUUUUCUGAGAACAUCUGCAGAGCCUGUGACUUCCCUGGCUGGGAACUAGGGCAGCACUGUUUUGGUCUCUGCUCGCUUCCCCGUUCAGAUCGGACACUCAUCUUCUUCCUCUUUUGUCCUAAAUUUCACUCUGCUGUUCAGUGCAGCUGUGCAGCAGCUGCUGAGGUCUCCUCCUCCUGAAAAGGCUGAGGGUCACCGGCUGCUGCAGUUUACUUCCUCCCAGAGAGAGCACGGAGGCUCAGCCGCGUCCUGUCCAGGUGGACACCCAGUGAGAGGGACUUUCUGGCAGUGUCCGUGGCUCGGGAACAUGGGUGAGACAAGGGAAAGGACCUCGGGACGAGUGCUGGGGCCUCCUUUCCCAGAAAGGCAAGCGGCAUGCCAGGCUCCGGGGCCAGCAGGGAGGCACCUUUGCACCACACUAGACGUCCUGGAGUGGAACUGCCCAUGGAACAUCCCACCACCAAUGCCUGGGGAGGGGUGAUCAGCAGCUCCGCCCUACUGGGCCUACAGCCCAGCCUGGUACCUUCCCCGAGAGCCUGGCAGUGCUGCCGGGAGGAAUGGAGGUGCUGGUCCUUGGUCUCCACCAGCCCUGGGCACUGGACAUGCAGGGAGCCUCUCCUCACCCCAGUCCCAGACACGCCCCGUGUCCAACUGCAGCUCUGCCUGAGCCGCGGGUGCAGGCCUGCCUCCCUUCCCUGCUGUCCACUGGGCAGGCUGGCCCCAGGCUGGCCUCACCAUCAUCAGCCUGGCUGCAGGCUCUGGAAGGCAAUGUUGGCCCUUGCUUUUGGAGAGUGAUAUGGUGCCCCCAGCCCCCUUCUGGCUUGGACAACACAAAAGCAGAAACAGGACUGUGAACAGUGUGUGACCACACACACCACACGAUUUGCACACACUCACACGCACACACACAGGUGCUGGGAUGAGGGUCACCCUGGCCACAGCCCCCUGAGUCACACCAUGAGCAGCAGCCGGUGCCGGGCCAGCUGGGGACGCACCAUUGAGGGAGAUAAUGGUGCAUGUACAUUAGGACGCCCGGUGCAUUAGGGAGCCGAGAGGCAGGGUUAGCGCAGCACGAUUUGCAAAACACACAAAUAAUUCAUGUUGCCAUGACGUCAUGGCGCUGUUGUCAGUAAUGAAUUCACACAACACCGGGUUUACAUCACAUGGCUCCCACCUGGGCCAGGAGUGGGCAGUCACUGGCACAGAGACCCCGGGGCUUGAGGGAGCCUGGCCAGGUCCCAGCAAUUUCUCAAGAGAGGCAUUCACUCCUGUCAGGAGAGCAGCUGGCUGCCAGAGUGGGCUGGUCAGGGAGGGUCAGAGGGUACUGAGCCCAGGGACAGAGCCCAAGGUGACAUGGGCUCCCUGCAGCACUAUCCACGGCCCCCAGUCACCCAGAGUCUGGCUGGCCAGGGCCCAAGUGCUGGUCUUGUUGCCAAGCCUUGAAGACCAGUCCUUGGUGCCAGACCUCAGAAGGGCAAAGGUCACCCUUCGUGGGUAUCCGAUGCAAAACCGGAACCGGAACCUCUUCUGAGUCCGCCAGCUGGAGCCACAUUCCUGCAUCCCAGACUGAGGGCCAUCUGUCACUGGCAUCAGUCAUCUGUCUGGAGGGGGCAGACCCCCAGCUAGAGUGGCACUGAUGCAGCCAUGCCUGCCUUGCUGGGCUGAGUCCAUCCCCUGCUGCCACAAAGCAGGUCCAGCGUCUCCCAGGGUCAUGCCGGCCGGCCAGCCUGGACUUAAUCAAUCUGUGUAUGAAUAUUCAUAUGGCAUGCAGCAGGAGAGCAUUCAUUUCUGAGAAAGCAGGAAGAACACAGUCCUCGUUUGAGGAAUGAGCGUCCAUUCUCGGCUGACUCGCUGGGCUCCAUGUUGGGUGCCCAGGGCAGAACCUCACCCUCUGCCUAUGACAGCUUUAGCCUCCUGCUUCCUCUGCAGCAGUGCCCUGACCUUAGAGCCACCUUUGCCCGCCAUCUCCUUCCUCAAGCCUCCGGCCUGCUCUUCCUCUACCUUUCCCACAGGGCUUCAGCACCCACAGGUCCCUUGGCCUUCCCACACCUUUGGAGACCCCAAGGACACUGCCUUGGCUUGUGAAGCAGCCUAUGGAGCUGACCUUUCCUGUCCCAGGGCCCCACCGGUUCCCUUGCUGCAUCCAGGUAGCAUCAACCCUGCCCACGGCCAGACAAGGCCACAUGGCCAGGCACUGGGAGAUCAGCAUCUCUGGCUGCCUGUGCACAGGAGUCCACAGCCCCUAACCCUGGGCCAAUGGUGUGAUCAGCAUGGGACAUGGCCAAGCUGGCCCUCACGGAUGUCACUCCCCAACUCUGGUCAGGACGGCAGGUGGCCACAGCUGGUCGAGACAGAGAUGGGCACACGCACAAUCUCUGCCUGGCCUGGGGCUACCGGGAGACUCUAGCUGAGGUGUUGUGGGGGUGAGGUGGGCAGCCACCGGCUGUGGCUCAGGACUCAACCAUGUUUGGGGGGGGCCGAGGGCAGCCAGAGCUCAGGCUGCAACAGUGGCAUUGCCCACCCCAUGUCCGCCUUAACCGAGGCUGCUCUCCUGCCUGCCAGGCUCGUUUGCCACCCAGCCCCAGGCGCGGUGCAGACUGCACACCUCGAGCCACACUACCCUGCAAGGCCCCGGGUGAUACAGCUGCCAGCAGCCUGGGCACGCUGCCCAGCUGGGCGGGGGAGGGGCUGCCUGAGUGCUGAAUCAGCUGCUCCCUCCCUGCUCUGCUCCUGCCUGCAGCGGCUGGGCAGUGAGGAUGCUGCUGGGUGGGGGUGGCUCCCCCUUUUGGGAACUAUGGGAGCCGAGCCAGGCUGCUGGGGAUUUCUGGAAAGUGGGUCCUGCCGUGCUCUGGCUGGAAAUGCUGCUUCUCCAGAAUGGUGUGGGCCCAAGGUUGGGUGAGGAUCCUCCCUGGGCAGGCCUGGGUGGAGAGGGACCCUUCUCGCAAAAAUCCCAAAAAGGGAGAGGGGCGGGGUGCACUGGUGCUGCAGAGCCUGCAGGCCCCCCCCCACACCUUGCAAGCGCUGAGUCAGCACUAGGAGGUGCCCCGCACCCUCAUGCUGCAUGGCAGGGACGGGGCCUUACCAAGGUCAGGGAGCCUGGGCACCACGCCAGGCUCUGGUCGCUGGCCUCACUGGCCUUCCCAGGGGGGCUAUCAGACCCCUCCCCCUGGCCUUUGCCCUGCCACCCCUUCCCCUUGGCUGCCAUUGAGCAGCAAGGGCACGGCCUGUCAGAGUGCCUGUGUAUGCACAUGUAUGUGUGCUUUGGGUCUGGCCCCUGUGGCCACCUUUCUACCUGGUGCCCAGAGCAGGUGGCAGCCUGGCAUCCUUCUUGGCUUCACUCGCCCUCUGCUGACUCCAGCUUUCCCUUCACCAGUGGAGACCUGCACCCUCUUGGGGCCCUGCCAGAGGGAUGCCCUGUGUGGUGGGUCGCUCCAUGAAGCCAGCACCAAGUGGCCCCUCCCUGUGUGACUCUUCCAUUGGCUCUGCCCUGGGACACCCCCAGGGCUCCCACUUCUCCCCAACCCUCCCCCACUGCCACCCUUCCCCACUCUCCAGGAGGCUGGCUGAGUGCCCGGCUCAGCUCCUAAACCCCCCUGCCUUACCCACCACAGCUGCCCAGCCUGUCCCCUGGGGUCCUCCUCCUUCCCUUCCCAGCAUGCGCUGGGUGGCUGGCAGCCCCACUCUCCCCACUGCACUCCCUCGGCUUGGCCCUGGAAGUCGCCUGCGGCAUCACUGGGCCUUUACCUACCUCUCUGGCAGCCUGGCUGGUGGGGGUGAGGUCAGCUGAGUGAACAGCCACUAGGUCAGGGUCUCUGCGUGCUGCCUCUGGGGCAGCUCCCUACAGCAUGGCUGCCCAGCAGGCCUCAGCUCCUCCUGGCCUCAGCUCCUCUGAGUCCUCCAGAAGGUUCUAAGAGCCACAGGCUGGCCACCAAGUGGGCAUUAGAGUGGUGUGGCCUGCUGCGGCACAGCUGUACCUGGGUCUCUGUGCCACCCAGAUACCGAAGCCCCAACCACUACCUCCAGCACCACCCAAAAGAGUGCCAGACUUCAGGCAAAGAGUCCAGGCCAUCUCCAAGCAUCCCUGGCACAGCUCCACGUGUCAUCUGGCCUUGGGAGAACAGCGCAAUGACCAGAACGCACUUCCAGUUACGGUGCAGAGAGAGGCAGCCCUAUAGGCCCAAGCCCUGGGGUGGCCUCCCUGCCACUGAAGGCCAUAUCAUGCCACCCUCAUCCAAACCCAGCCGCAGGAGGUGCCUUGUCUGGGACCUUGGUCCCCCUGGGUCUGGCUGGACACAGCUACAUGCUCUAGGGACAGUGUGGACAUGCAUCAGCGCAGAGGUGGCUGGACAGGGAGCAGCGACAGCACGCCAGCCCAUAGGCAGCCUGACAGCAGAGGGCCUGGGUCUACUCCUCAGCCUUGUAAACAACGCAAACAACAGAGGAUGCUGCAGAUCUGGGAAGAUGAGGCAGGCCCCAGGGUGCUCCUGGGAGGUGGGCAUCCCCUGGGGCACAGCCACCGUCACACAGGCAGGCUGCAGUCUGUACAUGGGCAGGGUCACUGAGCUGCCACCUCAGGGCCUUCUUCCCCUGGCUGACAGCAGCACUUGCCAGCCUUAGUCCUGGUCCCUUCUCAGUGCCUGGCUGCCCAGAGCAGAGGCUCAGUUCCGACUCAUCAGAACAUCCGAAGGGCUGGGACAGAGCCCAGGGUGCAGCCCAGAUCUAGUGGACUGGAGUUUGUAGCCAGCACCACACCCGCGGACCCAGAGGAUAAACAGACCUAUAGAGUUCAGUUUUACCCAAGACCAGCAGCAAUGGCUAGGCAGCAUCGUGGCACUGUGACAGAUCUGCGUUUCUUCUCAGCGACUUUUUCUGGCUGAAACUAUCAUUUGUGUUGUGUCCCUAGAGGUCUCUGUGAAAGAGGAGACACGGGAACUGCCCUGCGCAGGAGCCAGAGGGGGAAGGAGCUGCCUCAGGAGGAGCCCGCUGUGUACACAGGUGCUGCCCUAGCUCCCAACCGCCCCUGGUUAACCGGGAACAUGCCUGUGGUUCUCUUUCAUCGCUAGGUGCCCCUGCUGUCCCUGACAAAAAGGUACUGAAAACAAGCUGGCAGCCAUGGCCCUGGUCCCCCAGGGGCCACAGGCCCGCAGGUCUCCCCCUCCAAUACUGUGAUUGGCUGCUUUUAAGAAACAUCCCAACUUUGUGGAGAAAAACAGGUUUCUGUAGCUUUUUUGGUUGGUGAUUAUACCCUUAAAGGAGUACAGAUUGUAAACUGCAAGUAA
This is a long non-coding RNA of Cavia porcellus (domestic guinea pig), 8201 nucleotides long. RefSeq lists it as uncharacterized. NCBI's taxonomy places the organism in Eukaryota, Metazoa, Chordata, Mammalia, Rodentia, Caviidae. The record is from RefSeq and is a predicted model, not a curated record. The transcript has 3 exons.